Molecule: small RNA, 1357 nt
Filed under: Cryptococcus neoformans H99
Lineage: Eukaryota; Fungi; Basidiomycota; Tremellomycetes; Tremellales; Cryptococcaceae
Description: Cryptococcus neoformans var. grubii H99 hypothetical RNA
Source: RNAcentral
GUUUUUCUGGUCUUUGAGACCGAAUGACGAAAGGAGCAUGUCAACGCGCUGCCUCAACUCGGCCUUUCCAAUGGGCCUUUCGUCAGCUUGUUCACCACUCGGUGACUUACUCAUCGAGACCGAACUUGGCAGCGAACGCCAAUGUCUCGGCUGUAGUGAUGCUUCCGAUAUGAUGGUCUUGCUGCUCCACAUAGCAAGAAGUACGUCGGAUGUCGGAUAUGGUGGCGUGAACAUCAUUGAUGAAGACAUCGCCCGCGAGUUUCGCUUUUGGUGGCAUCGCCCGGUGCGCCAACCUAUUCAGGAGCGUGGUUUUACCAGACCCCGAGGGACCCAUUAUCGCAACAAGCUCGCCUGCAGUCAGCAUGGUAUCGUCUGGGAUUCUCUCACCUGCGUGUGCUUCACCGCUCACUGCGGCCAGAAGUUUCUUUUCAGCUUUCGAACCGCUUGCAGGCAUCGUAGCGGUGAUCCCACGCCAAUGGAAGCUGCUAACGCUGUCAUUGUAGAGUCCUGUAAUAUCGAGACACUUUCCAGCUUCGACGUAAGAGGGGUCGAUGGCGAUGGCAGACAUGUUUAGUGAAUGAAUAGCUUGAUGGGGGGCCAAACAUGCACACUUGUCCUGGAGGAUCCCUUAUAUGCGCACUACGGUGUCCGAAUCGUUGCCAGCUUGACGGAACAUUCUGAAUGGUUUCCGAAUCACCGUUGCCUUUCUUGGUCAGAAUUCCGACAAGGGGAGACGUUCACGAAGUCAGAGCGUGACAAACAAUAAAGACAGACUGGUGUGGUAAGCGCGCACUGUGAUCACAGCGUCUGACAUUCGGCGUCAAUGAAUCUAUUCGGAAAAGGGGCUCAGAAACUGAGUAAGCUUGGACGAUAGGACCCUGAAUCAGGGCUAUGGGGUUCUGAUGAUUAUUGUUUGGUCUUGAUAGAACCGUUGAACCUCCGAAUGUGAAGUGUCAAUGGAGAUUGAAAUUACGAGGAGCGGCGAUGGGAGUAUCCGAAUUGGGAUUCGCCAACGCUGUAUUCGGACCUCGAUGCCAUCGUUGUGAUUCCAGUUUCUGUCCGGUGGGGAAUAUUUUGGCACCUAUAUAAGUUGUAGAAUGUAAUCCGACUGGGCACAACCCCUGCCCCUUGAUCUAUCCUCGGUCUUUGAUCCGUUCAAGUUUCAAUUAUAGCCAUGUGCCGACAAAUCAUUUGUGAAAACUGUCAGAAAAAGACAUGGAUUGGAUGCGGCCAGCAUAUUGAGACACGAGCUCUCAAAGACGUUUCAGUGGAAGAGCGAUGCGCAGGAUGGAAGAAGGGGGGUAAUGGUGCUUGCAAAGAUGUGAUUUGGAACAGUACGGAUCGGGCCUGAUUGAGA